Molecule: ribosomal RNA, 491 nt
Filed under: uncultured bacterium
Lineage: Bacteria
Description: partial 16S ribosomal RNA
Rfam family: Bacterial small subunit ribosomal RNA
Source: RNAcentral
AGUGAACGCUGGCGGUAGGCCUAACACAUGCAAGUCGAACGGCAGCACAGUAAGAGCUUGCUCUUACGGGUGGCGAGUGGCGGACGGGUGAGGAAUACAUCGGAAUCUACUUUUUCGUGGGGGAUAACGUAGGGAAACUUACGCUAAUACCGCAUACGACCUACGGGUGAAAGCAGGGGAUCUUCGGACCUUGCGCGAUUGAAUGAGCCGAUGUCGGAUUAGCUAGUUGGCGGGGUAAAGGCCCACCAAGGCGACGAUCCGUAGCUGGCCUGAGAGGAUGAUCGGCCAAAUUGGAACUGAGAAACGGUCCAGACUCCGAGGGGAGGCAGCGGUGGGGAAUUUUGGAAAAGGGGCGAAAGCCUGAUCCAGCCAUACCGGGUGGGGGAAGAAGGCCUUGGGGUUGUAAAGCCCUUUUGUUGGGAAAGAAAAGCAGCAGGUUAAACCCCCGGUGUUCUGACGGUACCAAAAAAAUAAGCACCGGCUAACUUCGU